This 506-nucleotide ribosomal RNA is filed under the name uncultured bacterium. RNAcentral describes it as "partial 16S ribosomal RNA". It matches the Rfam family "Bacterial small subunit ribosomal RNA", at positions 29 to 523 of the family's 1533-position model. The record is from RNAcentral.
AGUGAACGCUGGCGGUAGGCCUAACACAUGCAAGUCGAACGGCAGCACAGGAGAGCUUGCUCUCUGGGUGGCGAGUGGCGGACGGGUGAGGAAUACAUCGGAAUCUACUCUGUCGUGGGGGAUAACGUAGGGAAACUUACGCUAAUACCGCAUACGACCUACGGGUGAAAGCAGGGGACCUUCGGGCCUUGCGCGAUUGAAUGAGCCGAUGUCGGAUUGGCUAGUUGGCGGGGUAAAGGCCCACCAAGGCGACGAUCCGUAGCUGGUCUGCAAGGAUGAGCAGACACACUGUAACUGAGACACGGUCCAGACGCCUACGGGAGGCAGCAGUGGGGAAUAUUGGACAAUGGGCGCAAGGUUGAUCCAGCCAUACCGCGUGGGUGAAGAAGGCCUUCGGGUUGUAAAGCCCUUUUGUUGGGAAAGGAAUCCAGCUGGCUAAUACCCGGUUGGGAUGACGGUACCCAAAGAAUAAGCACCGGCUAACUUCGUGCCAGCAGCCGCCGUAA